Molecule: unclassified non-coding RNA, 2298 nt
Filed under: Leishmania donovani
Lineage: Eukaryota; Euglenozoa; Kinetoplastea; Trypanosomatida; Trypanosomatidae
Description: gene:LdHU3.35.4820(CDS-product:iron-sulfur_cluste r_assembly_protein_putative)
Source: RNAcentral
AACCGUUGACUGAACCGACCCACUCCCUCGCUCUCUCACACACAAACACAUCUUCGCGCGCCUGGCUUCACGUGUGCGCACCGACGUCUGCCCGCGCUGUUCCUUUUGUUUUUUUUUUGACCCCACCCCAACACACACUCACCCAUACGCAUACACACAACUCUUCAUUUCACCUCCUGACACACCCUCCCUUCCCCUUGCUCUAGCCCGCAAUGCGCGCCUUCUCUCGCUUCGGGAUGGCUGCGAUGCCGUUGCUUGCGUGCGCUGCGCAACUGGCCGCUGUGCGCACGUUGUACAGUGAAAAGGUGCAGGACCACUACAAGAACCCGCGCAACGUGGGUAAGCUGGACAAGAACGACCCUAACGUGGGUACCGGGCUGCGCGGCGCACCGGAGUGUGGCGACAUGACGCAAAUGCAGGUGAAGGUAAACCCGGAUACACUUGUGAUCGAGGACGUCAAGUUCAAGGCGUUCGGCUGCGGGAGCGCAAUAGCUGCGUCGUCGUACGCGUCGCAGGCGAUCCGCGGCAAGACUGUCGCGGACGCGCUGAAGCUGACGAACAAGGAGAUUGCGCAUGAGCUGUCUCUGCCGCCGGUAAAGCUGCACUGCUCCAUGUUGGCGGAGGAGACGAUCCACGCUGCGGUGGAGAACUACCUGUCGAAGAACCCGACGCUGAAGAGCAAGGUGUCGAAGCGGAAGGAGGAGGAGGUCAAACAGGAGUGAGCGAAACUGCGUGGGUGCUGCUUAGACUGCCGCGUUCGUGCGCUCGCACGCUAACUGCGCAUCGGCUUCGAGAACAGCUGCUGUUGCUUGUGUCUUUGCGUGCAAACGCCAACUCACCUUAUAAGAUGGAGCUAGUGAGCAGAUGGUGGCCAAAGGGUGUUUGUGGCGCGGGCUUCAUCUGUACCUGUCAUGCACUCCUUCCCUCUCCCCUCCGCCCCUCCCUUGCUUGCGCCUUCCCCCUCCUCGUGUAAUUCUCUGCUGCUGCUGCUGUGGCGUGCGUGCCUAUGUAUGGUAGCCGCGGGCCCCACCCUGGACGGCCAGUGCCACUGACACACACACACACACGCGCGCGCACACACAACUUUUUUGUCCCUCCCCUCUCUUCCUCACUUGCACCUUACGCGGUUGUCCAGGCGCUGCCCCUCUCGGCUGUGCGGCGCGUGCUGUGCCACCGCGUGUGGACGCGGGAAGCCAAACGAAGCGCGCGUUCACCGUCUCCCCUUUAUCAUCCUCUUGUGCACUGCUGCACUGAAAAACACACAGACGCACACGCACGGUGCAAGGUUGCCGUAGGCAGACGUGAGAGCCCCUCCCUCUUCCUCCCCUCCUGCUCUGGGCACCUUUGCCGCGCGCUUCUCUCUCUUUGUUGGCCCUCUCUUCUGUCGCUGUGGAUCUCACUUUUUUAUUUUUGAGUUUUGGUUUCAGCGCAGCCGUUUUUAUGUGCGCUCCUCCUUCCUGCGGCUUCGAUUGCCUGUCUUUCCUUGUUAUGUGUGAUAGCUGCUAUCGAGUUUUUCUUUGUGCGCACGGUUUCGCGCUCUGCGGCCCGCGCCGUGUUACAUGCUUGGGAAGCUCUCCAUUGCGGAUGCGCAGAGUGGGACCGACCCAACGGACAGGGAUGCACUGAGGUCAGCCGGCCGCGCUGAAGAGCGUCGCGCCCUUGACGGACAAAGACUUCCGCGUAGUGACGCUCCACCGCUGUACCUCUCAUUCUUAAGCUCUGCAGCUUCUAACACUGGGCGAGAGCGAUUGUGUGUGUGAAGCCCCCCCUUCCAGCUUCACUGGGCUUUUGUCUUGACGUGAGUCGUCUUCUCCAGAAAAGACGUUCUUGUCGGUGUUAGGGUGUGGGGGAAUAGGAGAGGACGCCGCUGUGUAUGUGUGUGUCUUAUAGCGCGUGCAGAAACAGCUUGUGCGCUCUGUGACGUGGUGCGGUGCUGAAUUCGGUGAUUUUUGUAUGUCUGUGUCUUUGCCGGUUUCGUCAAUGAGAGGACUUUUCCCACCCUCUUCUUCCCCUCCUCAUGUCUUGUGGCGUCUUUGCUUCCUCUUGGAGGACGAGCUCUCGUUUGCACAACCGGCUCAUCGCUUAAUGAGCCUCGAGUUGCGGUAGGAGGUACUCCCUCUCUUCUUUCCAUUGUUCUACAUGUGUUGCUCAUGCUUUCAAACUCGCGUCAUCGCCUUCUCUCGCGCUCCGUCGCCUUGUAAACCCAGUGAUGGUUCUGUCCUGAUGACUUCUUUUCUGUGACUCUCUCCUUGAUAUUCCGCCUUUUCUGGUUACCACCCGUGCUCGCCGGCGCGCAAG